Long non-coding RNA from Sinocyclocheilus anshuiensis, 90 nucleotides. RefSeq lists it as uncharacterized. NCBI's taxonomy places the organism in Eukaryota, Metazoa, Chordata, Actinopteri, Cypriniformes, Cyprinidae. The transcript is spliced from 3 exons. The record is from RefSeq and is a predicted model, not a curated record.
CCAUUAAAAUACCACAGACGAAAAUCUCGAAGGAACCCGCGGCGAAUUACUCUUCCAGGUUCUGAAGUCAUAGUUCCCCCACUCUAUUAC